Molecule: transfer RNA, 72 nt
Filed under: Gymnothorax formosus (palenose moray)
Lineage: Eukaryota; Metazoa; Chordata; Actinopteri; Anguilliformes; Muraenidae
Description: tRNA-Thr
Rfam family: tRNA
About the family: Transfer RNA (tRNA) molecules are approximately 80 nucleotides in length. Their secondary structure includes four short double-helical elements and three loops (D, anti-codon, and T loops).
Source: RNAcentral
GCCCUAGUAGCUUAAUUCUAAAGCCCCGGCCUUGUAAACCGGAAAAUGGAGAUUAAAAUUCUUCCUAGCGCA